Molecule: ribosomal RNA, 234 nt
Filed under: uncultured Pasteurellales bacterium
Lineage: Bacteria; Pseudomonadati; Pseudomonadota; Gammaproteobacteria; Pasteurellales
Description: partial 16S ribosomal RNA
Rfam family: Bacterial small subunit ribosomal RNA
Source: RNAcentral
GGCGGACGGGUGAGUAAUGCUUGGGAAUCUGGCUUAUGGAGGGGGAUAACUACGGGAAACUGUAGCUAAUACCGCGUAAUAUCGAAAGAUUAAAGUGUGGGACCUUCGGGCCACAUGCCAUAAGAUGAGCCCAAGUGGGGUUAGGUAGUUGGUGGGGUAAAGGCCUACCAAGCCGACGAUCUCUAGCUGGUCUGAGAGGAUGACCAGCCACACUGGAACUGAGACACGGUCCAG